This 874-nucleotide ribosomal RNA is filed under the name uncultured bacterium. RNAcentral describes it as "bacterial SSU rRNA". It matches the Rfam family "Bacterial small subunit ribosomal RNA", at positions 17 to 894 of the family's 1533-position model. The record is from RNAcentral.
UCCUGGCUCAGGAUGAACGCUAGCGGCAGGCCUAAUACAUGCAAGUCGAACGGGUUUAAGUAGCAAUACUUAAAUCAGUGGCGCACGGGUGCGUAACGCGUAUGCAACCUACCUUAAACUGGGGGAUAGCCUUCCGAAAGGGAGAUUAAUACCGCAUAAUACUAUUUGAUGGCAUCUGAAGAUAGUUAAAGAUUUAUUGGUUUAAGAUGGGCAUGCGUGCCAUUAGCUAGUUGGUAGGGUAACGGCCUACCAAGGCUACGAUGGCUAGGGGUUCUGAGAGGAUGAUCCCCCACACUGGUACUGAGAUACGGACCAGACUCCUACGGGAGGCAGCAGUAGGGAAUAUUGGGCAAUGGAGGCAACUCUGACCCAGCCAUGCCGCGUGCAGGAUGAAGGCCUUCUGGGUUGUAAACUGCUUUUAUCUAGGAAGAAAACGCCCAUGCGUGGGAAACUGACGGUACUAGAUGAAUAAGCACCGGCUAACUCCGUGCCAGCAGCCGCGGUAAUACGGAGGGUGCAAGCGUUGUCCGGAUUUAUUGGGUUUAAAGGGUGCGUAGGCGGCCCGUUAAGUCAGUGGUGAAAGCCUCCAGCUCAACUGGAGAACUGCCAUUGAUACUGACGGGCUUGAGUACAGACGAGGUUGGCGGAAUUGAUAGUGUAGCGGUGAAAUGCAUAGAUACUAUCAAGAACUCCGAUUGCGUAGGCAGCUAACUAGGCUGUAACUGACGCUGAGGCACGAAAGCGUGGGGAGCGAACAGGAUUAGAUACCCUGGUAGUCCACGCCGUAAACGAUGAUUACUCGAUGUCGGCGAUAAACAGUCGGCGUCUUAGCGAAAGCGUUAAGUAAUCCACCUGGGGAGUACGCCCGCAAGGG